AAGUCGAACGAUGAAGCCCAGCUUGCUGGGUGGAUUAGUGGCGAACGGGUGAGUAACACGUGGGUGAUCUGCCCUGCACUUCGGGAUAAGCCUGGGAAACUGGGUCUAAUACCGGAUAGGACCUCGGGAUGCAUGUUCCGGGGUGGAAAGGUUUUCCGGUGCAGGAUGGGCCCGCGGCCUAUCAGCUUGUUGGUGGGGUAACGGCCCACCAAGGCGACGACGGGUAGCCGGCCUGAGAGGGCGACCGGCCAAACUGGGACUGAGACACGGCCCAGACUCCUACGGGAGGCAGCAGUGGGGAAUAUUGCACAAUGGGCGCAAGCCUGAUGCAGCGACGCCGCGUGAGGGAUGACGGCCUUCGGGUUGUAAACCUCUUUCAGUACCGACGAAGCGCAAGUGACGGUAGGUACAGAAGAAGCACCGGCCAACUACGUGCCAGCAGCCGCGGUAAUACGUAGGGUGCGAGCGUUGUCCGGAAUUACUGGGCGUAAAGAGCUCGUAGGCGGUUUGUCGCGUCGUCUGUGAAAACCCGCAGCUCAACUGCGGGCUUGCAGGCGAUACGGGCAGACUUGAGUACUGCAGGGGAGACUGGAAUUCCUGGUGUAGCGGUGAAAUGCGCAGAUAUCAGAGGAACACCGGUGGCGAAGGCGGGUCUCUGGGCAGUAACUGACGCUGAGGAGCGAAAGCGUGGGUAGCGAACAGGAUUAGAUACCCUGGUAGUCCACGCCGUAAACGGGGGCGCUAGGUGUGGGUUUCCUUCCACGGGAUCCGUGCCGUAGCUAACGCAUUAAG
RNAcentral lists this ribosomal RNA (792 nucleotides) under Rhodococcus ruber. RNAcentral's name for it is "bacterial SSU rRNA". It matches the Rfam family "Bacterial small subunit ribosomal RNA", at positions 59 to 864 of the family's 1533-position model. Lineage: Bacteria; Bacillati; Actinomycetota; Actinomycetes; Mycobacteriales; Nocardiaceae. The record is from RNAcentral.